This 59-nucleotide microRNA precursor is filed under the name Eisenia fetida (common brandling worm). Its description in RNAcentral is "Efe-Mir-2685-P2_pre stem-loop". The record is from RNAcentral. Lineage: Eukaryota; Metazoa; Annelida; Clitellata; Crassiclitellata; Lumbricidae.
CCUGUGAACUCGUCUGUGUUAUAGUCUAUAAUCCUAUAACUCAGUAAGUUCACAUGGUC